UACAGAGGGUGCGAGCGUUAAUCGGAAUUACUGGGCGUAAAGCGUGCGUAGACGGUUAUUUAAGUCGGAUGUGAAAGCCCCGGGCUCAACCUGGGAAUUGCAUUCGAGACUGAAUAGCUAGGGUACGGUAGAGGGAAGUGGAAUUUCCGGUGUAGCGGUGAAAUGCGUAGAUAUCGGAAGGAACAUCAGUGGCGAAAGCGACCUCCUGGACCAGUACCGACGUUCAGGCACGAAAGCGUGGGGAGCAAACAGG
RNAcentral lists this ribosomal RNA (253 nucleotides) under uncultured bacterium. Its description in RNAcentral is "partial 16S ribosomal RNA". It matches the Rfam family "Bacterial small subunit ribosomal RNA", at positions 524 to 776 of the family's 1533-position model. The record is from RNAcentral.